ACUACGGGAGGCAGCAGUGGGGAAUAUUGGGCAAUGGACGCAAGUCUGACCCAGCAACGCCGCGUGAAGGAAGAAGGCUUUCGGGUUGUAAACUUCUUUUAAGGGGGAAGAGCAGAAGACGGUACCCCUUGAAUAAGCCACGGCUAACUACGUGCCAGCAGCCGCAGUAAUACGUAGGUGGCAAGCGAUGUCCGGAUUUACUGGGUGUAAAGGGCGUGCAGCCGGAGAGACAAGUCAGAUGUGAAAUCCGCGGGCUCAACCCGCGAACUGCAUUUGAAACUGUUUCCCUUGAGUAGCGGAGAGGUCAUCGGAAUUCCGAGUGGAGCGGUGAAAUGCGUAGAUAUUAGGAAGAACACCAGUGGCGAAGGCGGAUGACUGGACGACAACUGACGGUGAGGCGCGAAAGCGUGGGGAGCAAACAGGAUUAGAUACCCCAGUAGUC
Molecule: ribosomal RNA, 442 nt
Filed under: uncultured bacterium
Lineage: Bacteria
Description: partial 16S ribosomal RNA
Rfam family: Bacterial small subunit ribosomal RNA
Source: RNAcentral